GUUUCCACGGAAGGCUUCGAAUGCAAAUAUAAUGACUGGAAAACUGAGAGACGGGAAAAACGAAAGCGGCCGCUGCUCCUCAGAGCCGCCGGCCUGGUCUGUGGGAGGGAGGCCGUACCUGGAGGAGCAGGCCAGCUGGUGAAACCGCCACGCCACCGGACCACCCCGAAUCCUCCUCCGCCGUUCACGGAGACACAACACAAAGCUGCUGCUCCCGCGCCGCUCAUCAGGGCUUAACGGGAGCUGACCCCAUUUAAUGACGCAGCCGGUGGAUCUGGAGUGAGAAGAGAGAAGCUCCCACUCCCACUCCCACUCCCACUUCCACGCGGCCUCGUCCAGGAAGCAGGGUCUCAAAGACCCGUCCCCAGCGGAGCCACUCAAACAGUCAGUGUGGUGGAGCUGACAUCUGGCCAGGCCGGUGAACGGACCCGGCGCUUCCCGAUCGCCCCCUCCCUGGAUCCAAACUUCAGGGCGUUUCACGGCGGUCGACUGGAGGCCGGAGCAGCAGUGAUUCAGCAGUUUGUGGCUGCCGCAGUACGGCAUUAAUGAAAAACUCUGCUCCGACGGGAGACGAGAAGCGCUUCCCCCUGAGUCACGCGCUGCCCGUGCGAUCCCAGUGCUGAUGAAUGUGUGAAAUGAUGGCAAAUAACGGCAUGCAAUAAAUAAAGCUGAUUAAAAAAAAGGGGACACGCUACUUAUCUGAGCAGGUUUAAUAAUUCACUUUAAAAUGAGUUCUUAUGUACAGAUGCUGUUUUCUCAAAGGACCUUCAAUAAAAACACGACAAAAACGAUCAACGUGUCGCACCCACGCGCACGCACGCACACACACACACACACACACACACACACACACACACACACACACACACACAGACACACACA
Molecule: long non-coding RNA, 882 nt
Organism: Betta splendens (Siamese fighting fish)
Lineage: Eukaryota; Metazoa; Chordata; Actinopteri; Anabantiformes; Osphronemidae
Exons: 2
Source: RefSeq, a predicted model, not a curated record